This 72-nucleotide transfer RNA is filed under the name Chitinophagaceae bacterium. RNAcentral describes it as "tRNA-Lys". It matches the Rfam family "tRNA". Rfam says of the family: Transfer RNA (tRNA) molecules are approximately 80 nucleotides in length. Their secondary structure includes four short double-helical elements and three loops (D, anti-codon, and T loops). Further hydrogen bonds mediate the characteristic L-shaped molecular structure. tRNAs have two regions of fundamental functional importance: the anti-codon, which is responsible for specific mRNA codon recognition, and the 3' end, to which the tRNAs corresponding amino acid is attached (by aminoacyl-tRNA synthetases). tRNAs cope with the degeneracy of the genetic code in two manners: having more than one tRNA (with a specific anti-codon) for a particular amino acid; and 'wobble' base-pairing, i.e. permitting non-standard base-pairing at the 3rd anti-codon position. Lineage: Bacteria; Pseudomonadati; Bacteroidota; Chitinophagia; Chitinophagales; Chitinophagaceae. The record is from RNAcentral.
UGGUCCAUAGCUCAAUGGUAGAGUACCGCACUUUUAAUGCGGGAGUUCCGGGUUCGAGCCCCGGUGGGCCAA